AUCCCAGGAGCAUCUGACUGUCACCACUGCCAGGGCAGCUGCUGGCCGUGGAACAGAGUCCUGGGCCCUGGGCCUUGGCUGCUGUCAACAGAUGGGCUGGGCUGGGCCAUGGUGGAGUGGGGACAACGUUGAUACCUCUGAGA
RNAcentral lists this microRNA precursor (143 nucleotides) under Chlorocebus sabaeus (green monkey). Its description in RNAcentral is "miRNA (ENSCSAG00000020380.1)". The record is from RNAcentral. Lineage: Eukaryota; Metazoa; Chordata; Mammalia; Primates; Cercopithecidae.